This 1130-nucleotide long non-coding RNA is filed under the name Fragaria vesca (wild strawberry). Its description in RNAcentral is "long non-coding RNA (FVES_LNC004591)". Lineage: Eukaryota; Viridiplantae; Streptophyta; Magnoliopsida; Rosales; Rosaceae. The record is from RNAcentral.
AACAUAGAUAGCUAGUUAUUUGAUAAAAUAUGGCAUGAUAAAAAUGCAGUACUUGACAAUAUGAUCUACAAGAUAAAACUAAAGCUGAUAAAGAUAGCUAGUUAUUCGAUCAAAUAUGUCAUGAUAAAAAUGCAGUACUUGACAAUAUGAUCUGCAUGAUCAAACUGAAGCUGAUAAAAAUAGCUAGUUAUUCGAUAAAAUAUGUCAUGUGUUCUAGGAUAUUCUCUAUGUGUGCCUUGGUCUUAUGCCAAUAAGAUAUGUAGUUAGACUAGAUCUAUGUAUUCAUAUCCUUACCAUAUUGGUAUUGUGUAAUUCCCUAUAUAAAGGGCUUCUAUCAAUGAAUAAGAUGACUCUCUUGCUAUCUCUUUGUCUCUACACUUUAUUCUUCAUCACGUUAUCAUGCACUUUGUUCUAACCCUAGAGCCAAUAGCCCACCAUUUUUUUUUCCAAACCCUAAAAACCAAAACCCUAAAAUCGGGCAGCCUUGUUUUUCCCGAUUUCCGACCAAAAUUCCGACUGCCCUCCGCCGGAAUUUUAUAUCCCUAGAAAGCUCUUUCCGUCACGGAUCCAACGCCGCCGGCCUCACCCUGAGAACCGGCCGGAAAGUCUCCGAACCGGCCGCCGGAAAAUUCCAGACAGCCGCCGCUACAGACCACCGGUUCACCACCUUCCCUUGCUCCGAUCAACCUGAAAUUUUGACAGAAGCUUCCCCAUCCAGAGUUGCUCCUCCUAUCAAAUUUUCAGCCCCAAAUUCGAAGUAUAAGUAGGCGAAACGUUAUUUCUCCUCUCGGCAGCCUUUAGAAAUGUAUGUUUUGAAACCUUAAACUCUUCCAAGUUCAAUAACUCGGGGAGGAUAAAAUCAUUUCCUCCCUUCUCUAUCUCCAUUCUAUGCUUGGGAUUUUGUGUGUGCAGGUACCAAAAAUCCCGGAAUUUUAUUCGCGGGUCAAGAGUAUGUUGGAUCACUCUUGUUUCUUUGUCCGGGUUGUGUUUGAUCAACCCCGACCUUUCACCGGAUUGUGUUUGAUCAAUCCGAGGCCUUUUUCCGAUUGUGUUUGAUCAAUUCGAGGUCUUUUCCGGAUUGUGUAUGAUCAAUCCGAAGGACAAACCAUUAAAAGCAUCGUUUGUGACCU